RNAcentral lists this transfer RNA (61 nucleotides) under Lema sp. EMHAU-15071010. RNAcentral describes it as "tRNA-Cys". The record is from RNAcentral. Lineage: Eukaryota; Metazoa; Arthropoda; Insecta; Coleoptera; Chrysomelidae. RNAcentral also lists the same sequence under 1 other name.
AGUCUUAUAGUCAAAAAUGAUUUUAAAUUGCAAAUUUAAAGGUAAAUUAAUUUUAAGGCUU